GCUGUGAGGCAUGCUGGAGGUAUCAGAAGUGCGAAUGCUGACAUAAGUAACGAUAAAGCGGGUGAAAAGCCCGCUCGCCGGAAGACCAAGGGUUCCUGUCCAACGUUAAUCGGGGCAGGGUGAGUCGACCCCUAAGGCGAGGCCGAAAGGCGUAGUCGAUGGGAAACAGGUUAAUAUUCCUGUACUUGGUGUUACUGCGAAGGGGGGACGGAGAAGGCUAUGUUAGCCGGGCGACGGUUGUCCCG
Molecule: ribosomal RNA, 245 nt
Filed under: Klebsiella pneumoniae
Lineage: Bacteria; Pseudomonadati; Pseudomonadota; Gammaproteobacteria; Enterobacterales; Enterobacteriaceae
Also listed under: 1 other name
Description: partial 23S ribosomal RNA
Rfam family: Bacterial large subunit ribosomal RNA
Source: RNAcentral